CGGAUUGUAGUCUGNAACCCGACUACAUGAAGCUGGAAUCGCUAGUAAUCGCGGAUCAGAAUGCCGCGGUGAAUACAUUCCCGGGUCUUGUACACACCGCCCGUCACACCAUGGGAGUCGGAAAUACCCGAAGCCCGUGAGCUAACUUAAAGAGGCAGCAGUCGAAGGUAGAGCCAAUGAUUGGGGUGAAGUCGUAACAAGGUAAC
This 206-nucleotide ribosomal RNA is filed under the name uncultured bacterium. Its description in RNAcentral is "partial 16S ribosomal RNA". It matches the Rfam family "Bacterial small subunit ribosomal RNA", at positions 1294 to 1500 of the family's 1533-position model. The record is from RNAcentral.